CAUUUUGCCGCUUUGAGGAAUUGGUCUUUCCCGAGAACUGUGCAUGGUCUCCACUUCGGUUUCAGGAGUGGAUUUGGUCUUGACCGAGAUAGUUUAGUACUGGAAGUUGUCUAGCUACCCGUGUAACGCAAACAGUCGGUCUGCGGUGAGAUUCGAACCAGCAGUCAUUCGGUCAGAAAGGAUGGUAAACUUCUCACUUUUUUCCUUAUAGUUCUCGCAGCUGACGUGUUUUGACGACAGAUGUCAGCACAGAAGGAAACUAAAGGCGUAGGUGGCGCUGUGUUAAGAGUAGAGCAGUUUGAAGUGCUGCGAUUCCAUUUUCGCUUAGGAAAAUAGCAAUUGUUGAUAAAAAUAAAACAUGUAUUUUUCAGUAGAAGAAAUAAUUUUUAAUGAAAAAGAGCCUUACUAUAUGACACGAUGUUUAUCGAUUUUAACAGUUCAAACCAAUUCAAAUGGAUAUCCCUAAGGAACAUCUCUAUAAUGCCUCAGUGCUUCCGGUCCUUCCUUUCUCAAAAGCACUGCGAAGGCUGCCGGCAGCGUGGUUGUUCCUUUCGCGAGUUGGUGUCUGGCGUACAGCGCGAACGUCUCAUGAGCAAGAAGCCGUAGAGACGAUGCUCUCAAUGUUGGACACCGAAGUGAGGCAACUCAUCGGGCACAACGCCAAAAUGUCCCUGUUGUGUCCUGGCCCUGGGUCACGCGUGUCGCGCCUUGACAGCCGUGACCUUGAACGACCUUGACCGGCCGGGCCGGGCCGAGCGGCCGAGGGUCAGUAUCGUCCGAGCGGCGCUGGUGUCAACACAGCUGAGUGCCGCGAGGUGAGG
Molecule: long non-coding RNA, 821 nt
Organism: Amphibalanus amphitrite
Lineage: Eukaryota; Metazoa; Arthropoda; Thecostraca; Balanomorpha; Balanidae
Exons: 2
Source: RefSeq, a predicted model, not a curated record